This 163-nucleotide ribosomal RNA is filed under the name Dendrobium nobile. RNAcentral's name for it is "5.8S ribosomal RNA". It matches the Rfam family "5.8S ribosomal RNA". Rfam says of the family: 5.8S ribosomal RNA (5.8S rRNA) is a component of the large subunit of the eukaryotic ribosome. The record is from RNAcentral. Lineage: Eukaryota; Viridiplantae; Streptophyta; Magnoliopsida; Asparagales; Orchidaceae.
ACACGACUCUCGGCAAUGGAUAUCUCGGCUCUCGCAUCGAUGAAGAGCGCAGCGAAAUGCGAUAUGUGGUGCGAAUUGCAGAAUCCCGCGAACCAUUGAGUCUUUGAACGCAAGUUGCGCCUGAGGCCAACCGGCUGAGGGCACGUCCGCCUGGGCGUCAAGC